RNAcentral lists this small nuclear RNA (24 nucleotides) under Arabidopsis thaliana (thale cress). RNAcentral's name for it is "snRNA_15384". The record is from RNAcentral. Lineage: Eukaryota; Viridiplantae; Streptophyta; Magnoliopsida; Brassicales; Brassicaceae.
GGGAUCCGGUUAAAAUUCCGGAAC